Molecule: ribosomal RNA, 494 nt
Filed under: uncultured bacterium
Lineage: Bacteria
Description: partial 16S ribosomal RNA
Rfam family: Bacterial small subunit ribosomal RNA
Source: RNAcentral
GACGAACGCUGGCGGCGUGCUUAACACAUGCAAGUCGAACGGAAAGGCCUGUCCUUCCUUGUGUUGGACGGGUACUCGAGUGGCGAACGGGUGAGUAACACGUGAGUGAUCUGCCCCCAACUUGGGUAUAAGCCUGGGAAACUGGGUCUAAUUCCCGAUAGGACUGCAGGGUGGUGCCUGUGGUGGAAAACGAUUUUCUAGUGGUUGGGGAUGAGCUCGCGGCCUAUCAGCUUGUUGGUGGGGUAAUGGCCUACCAAGGCGGCGACGGGUAGCCGGCCUGGGAGGGUGGACGGCCACAGUGGGACUGAGAUACGGCCCAGACUCCUACGGGAGGCAGCAGUGGGGAAUAUUGCACAAUGGGCGGAAGCCUGAUGCAGCGACGCCGCGUGGGGGAUGACGGCCUUCGGGUUGUAAACUCCUUUCGACCGCGAGGAAGCCGCCUGGUUGGAAGGGUGGUGACGGUAGUGGUAGAAGAAGCACCGGCUAACUACGUG